This 497-nucleotide ribosomal RNA is filed under the name uncultured bacterium. RNAcentral describes it as "partial 16S ribosomal RNA". It matches the Rfam family "Bacterial small subunit ribosomal RNA", at positions 28 to 507 of the family's 1533-position model. The record is from RNAcentral.
GAUGAACGCUGGCGGCGUGCCUAAUACAUGCAAGUCGAGCGAACAGACGCGGCGCUUGCUUCUCUGAUGUUAGCGGCGGACGGGUGAGUAACACGUGGAUAACCUACCUAUCAGACUGGUAUAACUUCGGGACACCGGCGCUAAUACCGUAUAAUAUUUUGAACCGCAUGGGUCAAAAGUGAAAGACGGUCUUGCUGUCACUUAUAGAUGGAUCCCCGCUGCAUUAGCUGGUUGGUAAGGUACAGGCUUACCAAGGCAACGAGGCCUAGCCGAACUGAGGGGGUGAUCGGCCACAUUGGAGCUGAGACACGCUCCAGGCUCCUACGGUACGCAGCAGUAGGGAAUCUUCCGCAAUGGUCGAAAGCCUGACGGAGCAGCGCCGCGUGAGUGAUGGAGGUCUUCGGAUCGUAAAACUCUGUUAUUAGUGAUGAACAGAUGUGGAAGUAACUGUGCACAUCGUGACGGUACCUAAUCAGAAAGCCACGGCUAACUACGUG